UACGUAGGUGGCGAGCGUUAUCCGGAAUUAUUUGGCGUAAAGAGCGCGCAGGUGGUUGAUUAAGUCUGAUGUGAAAGCCCACGGCUUAACCGUGGAGGGUCAUUGGAAACUGGUCGACUUGAGUGCAGAAGAGGGAAGUGGAAUUCCAUGUGUAGCGGUGAAAUGCGUAGAGAUAUGGAGGAACACCAGUGGCGAAGGCGGCUUCCUGGUCUGUAACUGACACUGAGGCGCGAAAGCGUGGGGAGCAAACAGGAUUAGAUA
RNAcentral lists this ribosomal RNA (261 nucleotides) under uncultured prokaryote. RNAcentral's name for it is "partial 16S ribosomal RNA". It matches the Rfam family "Bacterial small subunit ribosomal RNA", at positions 524 to 784 of the family's 1533-position model. The record is from RNAcentral.